This 214-nucleotide non-coding RNA is filed under the name Pediococcus cellicola. RNAcentral's name for it is "T-box sequence". It matches the Rfam family "T-box leader". Rfam says of the family: Uncharged tRNA acts as the effector for transcription antitermination of genes in the T-box leader family. T-boxes are found upstream of many aminoacyl-tRNA synthetase genes and some amino acid biosynthetic genes usually in Gram-positive bacteria. The anticodon of a specific tRNA base pairs to a specifier sequence within the T-box motif, and the NCCA acceptor tail of the tRNA base pairs to a conserved bulge in the T-box antiterminator hairpin. Lineage: Bacteria; Bacillati; Bacillota; Bacilli; Lactobacillales; Lactobacillaceae. The record is from RNAcentral.
AUAAGUACUUGAAAAGAAUUAGUAAGCGUAGAGGCUUUUUCAGAAACUAUACGGGCAAUGUGAGUAUAGAUUGGUUUUACGCUGAACUCAUCUUUUUAAAUUUUACUGAUGAAAAUAGUAGUUGGUAACGUGAUUUCGCGUUAAGAAAUGAAGAGUUCGACUGAAUUAAUCAAUCGUAAAUAUAGGUGGUACCGCGGAAAUUUUCGUCCUAUAA